UUAAGUUAUUAAGGGCGCACGGUGGAUGCCUUGGCACUAGAAGCCGAUGAAGGACGUUACUAACGACGAUAUGCUUUGGGGAGCUGUAAGUAAGCUUUGAUCCAGAGAUUUCCGAAUGGGGAAACCCAGCAUGAGUUAUGUCAUGUUAUCGAUAUGUGAAUACAUAGCAUAUCAGAAGGCACACCCGGAGAACUGAAACAUCUUAGUACCCGGAGGAAGAGAAAGAAAAUUCGAUUCCCUUAGUAGCGGCGAGCGAAACGGGAAGAGCCCAAACCAACAAGCUUGCUUGUUGGGGUUGUAGGACACUCUGUACGGAGUUACAAAGGACGACAUUAGACGAAUCAUCUGGAAAGAUGAAUCAAAGAAGGUAAUAAUCCUGUAGUCGAAAAUGUUGUCUCUCUUGAGUGGAUCCUGAGUACGACGGAGCACGUGAAAUUCCGUCGGAAUCUGGGAGGACCAUCUCCUAAGGCUAAAUACUCUCUAGUGACCGAUAGUGAACCAGUACCGUGAGGGAAAGGUGAAAAGCACCCCGGAAGGNGAGUGAAAUAGAACCUGAAACCGUGUGCUUACAAGUAGUCAGAGCCCGUUAAUGGGUGAUGGCGUGCCUUUUGUAGAAUGAACCGGCGAGUUACGAUUUGAUGCAAGGUUAAGCAGUAAAUGUGGAGCCGUAGCGAAAGCGAGUCUGAAUAGGGCGUUUAGUAUUUGGUCGUAGACCCGAAACCAGGUGAUCUACCCUUGGUCAGGUUGAAGUUCAGGUAACACUGAAUGGAGGACCGAACCGACUUACGUUGAAAAGUGAGCGGAUGAACUGAGGGUAGCGGAGAAAUUCCAAUCGAACCUGGAGAUAGCUGGUUCUCUCCGAAAUAGCUUUAGGGCUAGCCUCAAGUGAUGAUUAUUGGAGGUAGAGCACUGUUUGGACGAGGGGCCCCUCUCGGGUUACCGAAUUCAGACAAACUCCGAAUGCCAAUUAAUUUAACUUGGGAGUCAGAACAUGGGUGAUAAGGUCCGUGUUCGAAAGGGAAACAGCCCAGACCACCAGCUAAGGUCCCAAAAUAUAUGUUAAGUGGAAAAGGAUGUGGCGUUGCCCAGACAACUAGGAUGUUGGCUUAGAAGCAGCCAUCAUUUAAAGAGUGCGUAAUAGCUCACUAGUCGAGUGACACUGCGCCGAAAAUGUACCGGGGCUAAACAUAUUACCGAAGCUGUGGAUUGUCCUUUGGACAAUGGUAGGAGAGCGUUCUAAGGGCGUUGAAGCAUGAUCGUAAGGACAUGUGGAGCGCUUAGAAGUGAGAAUGCCGGUGUGAGUAGCGAAAGACGGGUGAGAAUCCCGUCCACCGAUUGACUAAGGUUUCCAGAGGAAGGCUCGUCCGCUCUGGGUUAGUCGGGUCCUAAGCUGAGGCCGACAGGCGUAGGCGAUGGAUAACAGGUUGAUAUUCCUGUACCACCUAUAAUCGUUUUAAUCGAUGGGGGGACGCAGUAGGAUAGGCGAAGCGUGCGAUUGGAUUGCACGUCUAAGCAGUAAGGCUGAGUAUUAGGCAAAUCCGGUACUCGUUAAGGCUGAGCUGUGAUGGGGAGAAGACAUUGNGUCUUCGAGUCGUUGAUUUCACACUGCCGAGAAAAGCCUCUAGAUAGAAAAUAGGUGCCCGUACCGCAAACCGACACAGGUAGUCAAGAUGAGAAUUCUAAGGUGAGCGAGCGAACUCUCGUUAAGGAACUCGGCAAAAUGACCCCGUAACUUCGGGAGAAGGGGUGCUCUUUAGGGUUAACGCCCAGAAGAGCCGCAGUGAAUAGGCCCAAGCGACUGUUUAUCAAAAACACAGGUCUCUGCUAAACCGUAAGGUGAUGUAUAGGGGCUGACGCCUGCCCGGUGCUGGAAGGUUAAGAGGAGUGGUUAGCUUCUGCGAAGCUACGAAUCGAAGCCCCAGUAAACGGCGGCCGUAACUAUAACGGUCCUAAGGUAGCGAAAUUCCUUGUCGGGUAAGUUCCGACCCGCACGAAAGGCGUAACGAUUUGGGCACUGUCUCAACGAGAGACUCGGUGAAAUCAUAGUACCUGUGAAGAUGCAGGUUACCCGCGACAGGACGGAAAGACCCCGUGGAGCUUUACUGUAGCCUGAUAUUGAAAUUCGGCACAGCUUGUACAGGAUAGGUAGGAGCCUUUGAAACGUGAGCGCUAGCUUACGUGGAGGCGCUGGUGGGAUACUACCCUAGCUGUGUUGGCUUUCUAACCCGCACCACUUAUCGUGGUGGGAGACAGUGUCAGGCGGGCAGUUUGACUGGGGCGGUCGCCUCCUAAAAGGUAACGGAGGCGCUCAAAGGUUCCCUCAGAAUGGUUGGAAAUCAUUCAUAGAGUGUAAAGGCAUAAGGGAGCUUGACUGCGAGACCUACAAGUCGAGCAGGGUCGAAAGACGGACUUAGUGAUCCGGUGGUUCCGCAUGGAAGGGCCAUCGCUCAACGGAUAAAAGCUACCCCGGGGAUAACAGGCUUAUCUCCCCCAAGAGUUCACAUCGACGGGGAGGUUUGGCACCUCGAUGUCGGCUCAUCGCAUCCUGGGGCUGUAGUCGGUCCCAAGGGUUGGGCUGUUCGCCCAUUAAAGCGGUACGCGAGCUGGGUUCAGAACGUCGUGAGACAGUUCGGUCCCUAUCCGUCGUGGGCGUAGGAAAUUUGAGAGGAGCUGUCCUUAGUACGAGAGGACCGGGAUGGACAUACCUCUGGUGUACCAGUUGUCGUGCCAACGGCAUAGCUGGGUAGCUAUGUGUGGACGGGAUAAGUGCUGAAAGCAUCUAAGCAUGAAGCCCCCCUCAAGAUGAGAUUUCCCAACUUCGGUUAUAAGAUCCCUCAAAGAUGAUGAGGUUAAUAGGUUCGAGGUGGAAGCAUGGUGACAUGUGGAGCUGACGAAUACUAAUCGAUCGAAGACUUAAUCAA
RNAcentral lists this ribosomal RNA (2921 nucleotides) under Staphylococcus aureus. RNAcentral's name for it is "23S ribosomal RNA". It matches the Rfam family "Bacterial large subunit ribosomal RNA". Lineage: Bacteria; Bacillati; Bacillota; Bacilli; Caryophanales; Staphylococcaceae. The record is from RNAcentral.